This 1444-nucleotide ribosomal RNA is filed under the name uncultured organism. Its description in RNAcentral is "SSU rRNA". It matches the Rfam family "Bacterial small subunit ribosomal RNA". The record is from RNAcentral.
GCUAGCUACAGGCUUAACACAUGCAAGUCGAGGGGCAGCAUGGUCUUAGCUUGCUAAGGCCGAUGGCGACCGGCGCACGGGUGAGUAACACGUAUCCAACCUGCCGUCUACUCUUGGACAGCCUUCUGAAAGGAAGAUUAAUACAAGAUGGCAUCAUGAGUCCGCAUGUUUACAUGAUUAAAGGUAUUCCGGUAGACGAUGGGGAUGCGUUCCAUUAGAUAGUAGGCGGGGUAACGGCCCACCUAGUCUUCGAUGGAUAGGGGUUCUGAGAGGAAGGUCCCCCACAUUGGAACUGAGACACGGUCCAAACUCCUACGGGAGGCAGCAGUGAGGAAUAUUGGUCAAUGGGCGAGAGCCUGAACCAGCCAAGUAGCGUGAAGGAUGACUGCCCUAUGGGUUGUAAACUUCUUUUAUAAAGGAAUAAAGUCGGGUAUGGAUACCCGUUUGCAUGUACUUUAUGAAUAAGGAUCGGCUAACUCCGUGCCAGCAGCCGCGGUAAUACGGAGGAUCCGAGCGUUAUCCGGAUUUAUUGGGUUUAAAGGGAGCGUAGAUGGAUGUUUAAGUCAGUUGUGAAAGUUUGCGGCUCAACCGUAAAAUUGCAGUUGAUACUGGAUAUCUUGAGUGCAGUUGAGGCAGGCGGAAUUCGUGGUGUAGCGGUGAAAUGCUUAGAUAUCACGAAGAACUCCGAUUGCGAAGGCAGCCUGCUAAGCUGCAACUGACAUUGAGGCUCGAAAGUGUGGGUAUCAAACAGGAUUAGAUACCCCUGGUAGUCCACACCGGUAAACGAUGAAUACUCGCUGUUUGCGAUAUACUGCAAGCGGCCAAGCGAAAGCGUUAAGUAUUCCACCUGGGGAGUACGCCGGCAACGGUGAAACUCAAAGGAAUUGACGGGGGCCCGCACAAGCGGAGGAACAUGUGGUUUAAUUCGAUGAUACGCGAGGAACCUUACCCGGGCUUAAAUUGCAGAUGAAUUACGGUGAAAGCCGUAAGCCGCAAGGCAUCUGUGAAGGUGCUGCAUGGUUGUCGUCAGCUCGUGCCGUGAGGUGUCGGCUUAAGUGCCAUAACGAGCGCAACCCUUGUUGUCAGUUACUAACAGGUUCCGCUGAGGACUCUGACAAGACUGCCAUCGUAAGAUGUGAGGAAGGUGGGGAUGACGUCAAAUCAGCACGGCCCUUACGUCCGGGGCUACACACGUGUUACAAUGGGGGGUACAGAGGGCCGCUACCACGCGAGUGGAUGCCAAUCCCCAAAACCUCUCUCAGUUCGGACUGGAGUCUGCAACCCGACUCCACGAAGCUGGAUUCGCUAGUAAUCGCGCAUCAGCCACGGCGCGGUGAAUACGUUCCCGGGCCUUGUACACACCGCCCGUCAAGCCAUGGGAGCCGGGGGUACCUGAAGUGCGCAACCGCAAGGAGCGCCCUAGGGUAAAACUGGUGACUGGGGC